This 846-nucleotide ribosomal RNA is filed under the name Triticum aestivum (bread wheat). RNAcentral describes it as "partial small subunit ribosomal RNA". Lineage: Eukaryota; Viridiplantae; Streptophyta; Magnoliopsida; Poales; Poaceae. The record is from RNAcentral.
CAGAUCACCAAGUUCAGCUGCGGCGGGUACGCCGUCGGCAUUUGCUUCAGCCACCUGGUGUUCGACGGCCAGGGCGCGGCGCAGUUCCUCACGGCCGUCGGCGAGAUGGCGCGGGGCCUCCCGGAGCCGUCGACCAAGCCGAUCUGGUCCCGCGACGCCAUCCCCAACCCGCCCAAGCCGCCGCUCGGCCCGCCGCCGUCCUUCACCGCCUUCAACUUCGUCAAGUCCACCGUCGAGAUCUCGCUGGACAGCAUCAAGCGCGUCAAGGACCAGGUCGCCGCCGAGACGGCCCAGAGGUGCUCCACCUUCGACGUGGUCACCGCCAUGAUCUUCAAGUGCCGGGCUGCGGCCAUCAGGUCCGCGCCCGACGCCGAGGUGCGCCUGGGCUUCGCCGCCGGCACCCGCCACCUGCUUACCAACGCGCUGCCGUCGCCCGACGACUACUACGGCAACUGCGUGUACCCUGGCGGCCUCGCCAGGACAAGCCAAGAGGUGACCGAGGCGUCGCUGGUGGAGAUCGUGACGGCGAUCCGGGAGGCCAAGGAUGCGCUGUCGGCGCGGUUCUUGGACUGGCUGGGCGGCGGCGCCAAGGACAGCCACUACAACGUGUCGCUGGACUACGGCACGCUGGUGGUGACCGACUGGAGCCACGUCGGGUUCAACGACGUCGACUACGGCUUCGGCGAGCCCACCUACGUCUUCACAUUGAACGACGAUGUCAACAUUGUGCCGUCCGUGGUGUACCUCAAGCCGCCCAAGCCGAAGCAGGGCAUCCGGCUGGUGCUCCAGUGCGUCGAGGAGCCGCACGCAGCCGUCUUCACCGAUGAGCUUGAGAAGCUCGCCUAA